Molecule: ribosomal RNA, 465 nt
Filed under: uncultured bacterium
Lineage: Bacteria
Description: partial 16S ribosomal RNA
Rfam family: Bacterial small subunit ribosomal RNA
Source: RNAcentral
GACGAACGCUGGCGGCGUGCUUAACACAUGCAAGUCGAACGCUGAACCCGCUUCGGUGGGGGAUGAGUGGCGAACGGGUGAGUAACACGUGGGCAACCUGCCCCCGGCUCUGGGAUAACUCCAAGAAAUUGGGGCUAAUACCGGAUGUGACCGCUGGCCGCAUGGUCUGGUGGUGGAAAGGGUUUCCGGCUGGGGAUGGGCCCGCGGCCUAUCAGCUUGUUGGCGGGGUAGUGGCCUACCAAGGCGACGACGGGUAGCCGGCCUGAGAGGGUGACCGGCCACACUGGGACUGAGACACGGCCCAGACUCCUACGGGAGGCAGCAGUGGGGAAUAUUGCGCAAUGGGCGGAAGCCUGACGCAGCGACGCCGCGUGGGGGAUGACGGCCUUCGGGUUGUAAACCUCUUUCAGCAGGGACGAAGCGCAAGUGACGGUACCUGCAGAAGAAGCACCGGCCAACUACGUG